Molecule: ribosomal RNA, 497 nt
Filed under: uncultured bacterium
Lineage: Bacteria
Description: partial 16S ribosomal RNA
Rfam family: Bacterial small subunit ribosomal RNA
Source: RNAcentral
GAUGAACGCUGGCGGCGUGCCUAAUACAUGCAAGUCGAGCGAACGGACGAGAAGCUUGCUUCUCUGAUGUUAGCGGCGGACGGGUGAGUAACACGUGGAUAACCUACCUAUAAGACUGGGAUAAUUUCGGGAAACCGGAGCUAAUACCGGAUAAUAUUUUGAACCGCAUGGUUCAAGAGUGAAAGACGGUCUUGCUGUCACUUAUAGAUGGAUCCGCGCUGCAUUAGCUAGUUGGUAAGGUAACGGCUUACCAAGGCAACGAUGCAUAGCCGACCUGAGAGGGUGAUCGGCCACACUGGAACUGAGACACGGUCCAGACUCCUACGGGAGGCAGCAGUAGGGAAUCUUCCGCAAUGGGCGAAAGCCUGACGGAGCAACGCCGCGUGAGUGAUGAAGGUCUUCGGAUCGUAAAACUCUGUUAUUAGGGAAGAACAUAUGUGUAAGUAACUGUGCACAUCUUGACGGUACCUAAUCAGAAAGCCACGGCUAACUACGUG